GCAGUCGAGCGGACAGAUGGGAGCUUGCUCCCUGAUGUUAGCGGCGGACGGGUGAGUAACACGUGGGUAACCUGCCUGUAAGACUGGGAUAACUCCGGGAAACCGGGGCUAAUACCGGAUGGUUGUCUGAACCGCAUGGUUCAGACAUAAAAGGUGGCUUCGGCUACCACUUACAGAUGGACCCGCGGCGCAUUAGCUAGUUGGUGAGGUAACGGCUCACCAAGGCGACGAUGCGUAGCCGACCUGAGAGGGUGAUCGGCCACACUGGGACUGAGACACGGCCCAGACUCCUACGGGAGGCAGCAGUAGGGAAUCUUCCGCAAUGGACGAAAGUCUGACGGAGCAACGCCGCGUGAGUGAUGAAGGUUUUCGGAUCGUAAAGCUCUGUUGUUAGGGAAGAACAAGUGCCGUUCAAAUAGGGCGGCACCUUGACGGUACCUAACCAGAAAGCCACGGCUAACUACGUGCCAGCAGCCGCGGUAAUACGUAGGUGGCAAGCGUUGUCCGGAAUUAUUGGGCGUAAAGGGCUCGCAGGCGGUUUCUUAAGUCUGAUGUGAAAGCCCCCGGCUCAACCGGGGAGGGUCAUUGGAAACUGGGGAACUUGAGUGCAGAAGAGGAGAGUGGAAUUCCACGUGUAGCGGUGAAAUGCGUAGAGAUGUGGAGGAACACCAGUGGCGAAGGCGACUCUCUGGUCUGUAACUGACGCUGAGGAGCGAAAGCGUGGG
This 725-nucleotide ribosomal RNA is filed under the name Bacillus sp. R431. Its description in RNAcentral is "bacterial SSU rRNA". It matches the Rfam family "Bacterial small subunit ribosomal RNA", at positions 57 to 765 of the family's 1533-position model. Lineage: Bacteria; Bacillati; Bacillota; Bacilli; Caryophanales; Bacillaceae. The record is from RNAcentral.